CCUUCGAUAGCUCAGUUGGUAGAGCGGAGGACUGUAGGGGAGAAUAGCAGAGAUCCUUAGGUCGCUGGUUCAAAUCCGGCUUGAAGGA
RNAcentral lists this transfer RNA (88 nucleotides) under Oreochromis niloticus (Nile tilapia). It matches the Rfam family "tRNA". Rfam says of the family: Transfer RNA (tRNA) molecules are approximately 80 nucleotides in length. Their secondary structure includes four short double-helical elements and three loops (D, anti-codon, and T loops). The record is from Rfam by way of RNAcentral. Lineage: Eukaryota; Metazoa; Chordata; Actinopteri; Cichliformes; Cichlidae.